RNAcentral lists this ribosomal RNA (253 nucleotides) under uncultured bacterium. RNAcentral's name for it is "partial 16S ribosomal RNA". It matches the Rfam family "Bacterial small subunit ribosomal RNA", at positions 524 to 776 of the family's 1533-position model. The record is from RNAcentral.
GACGAGCCUCACGAACGUUAUUCGGAAUCACUGGGCUUAAAGGGUGCGUAGGCGGUGUGGAAAGUCGGAUGUGAAAUACCUCAGCUUAACUGAGGAACUGCACUCGAUACUUCCAUGCUAGAGUAAGACAGAGGUGAGUGGAACUGAGGGUGGAGCGGUGAAAUGCGUUGAUAUCCUCAGGAACACCGGUGGCGAAGGCGGCAUCCUGGACCGGUAUUGACGCUGAGGCGCGAAAGCCAGGGGAGCAAACGGG